UACGGGGGGGGCAAGCGUUGUUCGGAAUUACUGGGCGUAAAGGGCUCGUAGGCGGCCAACUAAGUCAGACGUGAAAUCCCUCGGCUUAACCGGGGAACUGCGUCUGAUACUGGAUGGCUUGAGAUUGGGAGAGGGAUGCGGAAUUCCAGGUGUAGCGGUGAAAUGCGUAGAUAUUGGGAGGAACACCAGUGGCGAAGGCGGCUCACUGGACCGGAACUGACGCUGAGGCGCGAAAGCGUGGGUAGCGAACAGG
Molecule: ribosomal RNA, 253 nt
Filed under: uncultured bacterium
Lineage: Bacteria
Description: partial 16S ribosomal RNA
Rfam family: Bacterial small subunit ribosomal RNA
Source: RNAcentral